GCUGGGUAUGGUGGCGUGUGCCUGUAAUCCCAGCUACUUUGGAGGCUGAGGCAGGAGAAUCACUUGAACCCAGGAGAUGGAGGUUGCAGUGAGCCGAGAUCACACCACUGCACUUCAGCCUGGGCAACAGAGUAAGAUUCCGUCUCAA
This is a non-coding RNA of Pan troglodytes (chimpanzee), 148 nucleotides long. It matches the Rfam family "Metazoan signal recognition particle RNA". From Rfam's summary of the family: The signal recognition particle (SRP) is a universally conserved ribonucleoprotein. NCBI's taxonomy places the organism in Eukaryota, Metazoa, Chordata, Mammalia, Primates, Hominidae. The record is from Rfam.